This 1885-nucleotide ribosomal RNA is filed under the name Triticum aestivum (bread wheat). RNAcentral's name for it is "partial small subunit ribosomal RNA". The record is from RNAcentral. Lineage: Eukaryota; Viridiplantae; Streptophyta; Magnoliopsida; Poales; Poaceae.
AAAACAGGCCGCCCACCACGCUCCCCGUUUCAGAAUUUCAGACAGCUAAACAAACUCGGCCAGCCCAGCUUUCCUCCUCCUCCCCCUCGACCUGCUGGUGACCGCCGUCUGCCUUCUCCGACGAAUCUCCGCGCGAGUUCGGCCUAGCUCCACAGGGAGUCUCGAAUCUCCCCUUUGCCGCUGAGUCGAGGAAGAAGGUCGGCUCGGGUUCGCUUACUCGUUCGCUCGAGGACGAGAUUCAGCGGCGGGACUGAUUGAUUGAUUGGGCGCGAGCGAGAGCCGAUGAAGGGGAAGGGCGGGGCGCUCGACAGGAGGUCGUCUGCGAGGUGGAGGCUGCUGCUGCUCUGCGCCUUCAGCUUCGGGCUCGGCAUGCUCUUCACCAACCGCUUCUGGACAGCACCAAAUACCAAUAACCACAUCAUGUCCCAACACAGGAGACAAGACCAGGAGUUGCAACUUGUGUCAGAGGAUUGCAAUACAAAGAGGAAGCAUGGGGAGCACAAGGAUAUAAUGGGAGAGGUAACCAGGACCCAUGAAGCCAUACAAUUGUUGGAUAAGUCAAUCUCAACGCUGCAGAUGGAGCUUGCAGCAAAGCGAAGCACGUUGGAACUGGUCCGUUCUGGUGUGCCAGUAACUUCAGAAACUAGUCAAUCAAGGAAAAAAGCAUUCGUUGUCGUUGGAGUUAACACCGCUUUCAGUAGCCGCAAGCGUCGUGAUUCAGUCAGGGAGACAUGGAUGCCUCAAGGUGAGAAGCUGCUGCAGCUUGAAGAACAGAAGGGAAUAGUUAUACGCUUCACUAUAGGCCAUAGUGCUACAUCCAAUAGUAUAUUGGACAAAGCAAUAGAUGCAGAAGAUGCACAACAUCAUGACUUUCUUAGACUGGACCAUGUCGAGGGGUAUCAUGAACUCUCCGCAAAGACAAAAAUCUUCUUCUCCACGGCCGUGGGCAUUUGGGAUGCUGACUUCUUCGUCAAGGUCGAUGAUGAUGUGCAUGUGAACUUAGGAAUGCUUGCCACUACCCUUGCGAGGCAUAAAGCGAAACCAAGAACUUAUAUUGGCUGCAUGAAGUCAGGCCCAGUUCUUGCUGACAAGAAUCUGAAGUACCAUGAACCUGAGGCCUGGAAAUUUGGGGAGGACGGAAACAAGUAUUUUCGCCAUGCUACUGGACAGAUAUAUGCCAUCUCAAAAGAUCUUGCGACCUAUAUCUCAAUAAAUCAACCUAUCUUACACAAGUAUGCGAACGAAGAUGUAUCACUUGGGUCAUGGUUUAUUGGGUUAGAGGUUAAUCAUAUUGAUGAAAGGAACAUGUGCUGUGGAACUCCACCAGAUUGUGAGUGGAAAGGGCAAGCUGGCAAUAUCUGUGUGGCAUCCUUUGAUUGGAGCUGCAGUGGCAUAUGCAAGUCCGUCGAGAGGCUCAAGGAUGUACAUGCUCGAUGCGGCGAAGGCGAUUCUUCUGUUUGGAGUGAUCUAAUCUAGCUAAUACUCUCCCUGGCGUAAAUAUGUAGCAUUUUCAGUAAACCCUGACGAUCGUGCCUCAGUGGCUACAACUGAAAUGACUGAAAUUGCACAACAGGUCCGCAGAUGGACUAUAUUUCUGGUAGUUCGGCCUGAGGCAACAGAUGUAGUGUAGAUGAUACUUGUUCAGUCGUCGAGAGAUCUCAGUAGAUGGGAAUUGCUUUGUGCCAUCACCGGUGACUUCAGUAGUGUUAGAAGAGAGACCAAAGCGAGUGAGUAGCUGCUGUGUACCACAGAUUAGGGAAAAACAUCUAGUACAAAUUUUGAUCAAUUCUUUUGAUGUCGGUUCUUUUUGUUAUCCUUUGCAGGAACACCUGAAAAUAGGAUUCAAUCCUCAAUUUUGUAUUGAAAAUCCAAUGCAACAUACCGU